RNAcentral lists this ribosomal RNA (1198 nucleotides) under Staphylococcus aureus. RNAcentral's name for it is "bacterial SSU rRNA". It matches the Rfam family "Bacterial small subunit ribosomal RNA", at positions 57 to 1244 of the family's 1533-position model. The record is from RNAcentral. Lineage: Bacteria; Bacillati; Bacillota; Bacilli; Caryophanales; Staphylococcaceae.
GCAGUCGAGCGACGGACGAGAAGCUUGCUUCUCUGAUGUUAGCGGCGGACGGGUGAGUAACACGUGGAUAACCUACCUAUAAGACUGGGAUAACUUCGGGAAACCGGAGCUAAUACCGGAUAAUAUUUUGAACCGCAUGGUUCAAAAGUGAAAGACGGUCUUGCUGUCACUUAUAGAUGGAUCCGCGCUGCAUUAGCUAGUUGGUAAGGUAACGGCUUACCAAGGCAACGAUGCAUAGCCGACCUGAGAGGGUGAUCGGCCACACUGGAACUGAGACACGGUCCAGACUCCUACGGGAGGCAGCAGUAGGGAAUCUUCCGCAAUGGGCGAAAGCCUGACGGAGCAACGCCGCGUGAGUGAUGAAGGUCUUCGGAUCGUAAAACUCUGUUAUUAGGGAAGAACAUAUGUGUAAGUAACUGUGCACAUCUUGACGGUACCUAAUCAGAAAGCCACGGCUAACUACGUGCCAGCAGCCGCGGUAAUACGUAGGUGGCAAGCGUUAUCCGGAAUUAUUGGGCGUAAAGCGCGCGUAGGCGGUUUUUUAAGUCUGAUGUGAAAGCCCACGGCUCAACCGUGGAGGGUCAUUGGAAACUGGAAAACUUGAGUGCAGAAGAGGAAAGUGGAAUUCCAUGUGUAGCGGUGAAAUGCGCAGAGAUAUGGAGGAACACCAGUGGCGAAGGCGACUUUCUGGUCUGUAACUGACGCUGAUGUGCGAAAGCGUGGGGAUCAAACAGGAUUAGAUACCCUGGUAGUCCACGCCGUAAACGAUGAGUGCUAAGUGUUAGGGGGUUUCCGCCCCUUAGUGCUGCAGCUAACGCAUUAAGCACUCCGCCUGGGGAGUACGACCGCAAGGUUGAAACUCAAAGGAAUUGACGGGGACCCGCACAAGCGGUGGAGCAUGUGGUUUAAUUCGAAGCAACGCGAAGAACCUUACCAAAUCUUGACAUCCUUUGACAACUCUAGAGAUAGAGCUUUCCCCUUCGGGGGACAAAGUGACAGGUGGUGCAUGGUUGUCGUCAGCUCGUGUCGUGAGAUGUUGGGUUAAGUCCCGCAACGAGCGCACCCUUAAGCUUAGUUGCCAUCAUUAAGUUGGGCACUCUAAGUUGACUGCCGUGACAACCGGAGAAAGGUGGGGAUGACGUCAAAUCAUCAUGCCCCUUAUGAUUUGGGCUACCACGUGCUACAUGGAAAUACAAGG